This 646-nucleotide ribosomal RNA is filed under the name Clostridioides difficile. RNAcentral's name for it is "bacterial SSU rRNA". It matches the Rfam family "Bacterial small subunit ribosomal RNA", at positions 1 to 673 of the family's 1533-position model. The record is from RNAcentral. Lineage: Bacteria; Bacillati; Bacillota; Clostridia; Peptostreptococcales; Peptostreptococcaceae.
UUUUAUUUGAGAGUUUGAUCCUGGCUCAGGAUGAACGCUGGCGGCGUGCCUAACACAUGCAAGUUGAGCGAUUUACUUCGGUAAAGAGCGGCGGACGGGUGAGUAACGCGUGGGUAACCUACCCUGUACACACGGAUAACAUACCGAAAGGUAUGCUAAUACGGGAUAAUAUAUUUGAGAGGCAUCUCUUGAAUAUCAAAGGUGAGCCAGUACAGGAUGGACCCGCGUCUGAUUAGCUAGUUGGUAAGGUAACGGCUUACCAAGGCGACGAUCAGUAGCCGACCUGAGAGGGUGAUCGGCCACAUUGGAACUGAGACACGGUCCAAACUCCUACGGGAGGCAGCAGUGGGGAAUAUUGCACAAUGGGCGAAAGCCUGAUGCAGCAACGCCGCGUGAGUGAUGAAGGCCUUCGGGUCGUAAAACUCUGUCCUCAAGGAAGAUAAUGACGGUACUUGAGGAGGAAGCCCCGGCUAACUACGUGCCAGCAGCCGCGGUAAUACGUAGGGGGCUAGCGUUAUCCGGAUUUACUGGGCGUAAAGGGUGCGUAGGCGGUCUUUCAAGUCAGGAGUGAAAGGCUACGGCUCAACCGUAGUAAGCUCUUGAAACUGGGAGACUUGAGUGCAGGAGAGGAGAGUGGAAUUCCUAG